CAGCAGCCACGGUAAUACGAAGGUCCCAAGCGUUGUUCGGAAUCACUGGGCGUAAAGGGAGCGUAGGCGGCGUGGUAAGUCAGAUGUGAAAUCCCGGGGCUCAACCCCGGAACUGCAUCCGAUACUGCCAUGCUUGAGGGUUGGAGAGGUAGCUGGAAUUCUUGGUGUAGCAGUGAAAUGCGUGGAUAUCAAGAGGAACACUCGUGGCGAAGGCGAGCUACUGGACAACAUCUGACGCUGAGGCUCGAAGGCCAGGGUAGCGAAAGGGAUUAGAUACCCCGGUAGUCCCUGUCUCUUAUAC
RNAcentral lists this ribosomal RNA (301 nucleotides) under uncultured bacterium. RNAcentral describes it as "partial 16S ribosomal RNA". It matches the Rfam family "Bacterial small subunit ribosomal RNA", at positions 509 to 807 of the family's 1533-position model. The record is from RNAcentral.